UACCUUUCCGUUGGUGUUAAAAUUUCAAAAUUUUAAAAGUACAUAGAGUAAAAUUUGUUGAGGCAAGUUUUGGAAGCAAUAACUCAAGCAAUGACUGUAAUGCCCCAAUUUUUACCCGGCCCAUAAUAAACCAAUAAAAGUCCAGGUUUUUUUUACAAACCCAAUUAAUAAACCCAAAUUACAUCAGCAAGCCCUAACCACAAAUAGAAACCCUAGCCUAACUCGAAGUGGCCCAUUUUCUUGAAGCAUCCAGAAACCCCUAGGGUUUCUGGAAUGAUUUGCGCCGCAGCCAAGCGAGGCUCCUCCCCGUGCAUACAUCGGCCUCCCCCACGUGUGUCUCGCCUCCAGCUGUACCUGUAGCAACAAACAACCAACGACAACAGCAAAAUAAAGGGAAAAACGACUAGUCUAUUAACUUGGUAACACUUAAAUUAGUUUAAUUAAAACCGACGACUAGUCUUUUAAUAUUAGUGAAAUUAUAGAUUAAGUCUAUGUUCUCCAAUUUGAUCAUUCUUAAUCCUUAUAUUUUUUGGAAAUUUGAAAUCCUAAUCUUAAUGCAACAUUAACUGACUUGUUUUUAAUAAUAUGAAGAAAUAGCAAUAUGUCAUGAUAUUACACAUGUUAUACUAUAUUUGCUAUAUAAGAUUUUGAAAAUAUUAGUGUAAUAGCCCAUUUUUGCCCGGGCCCAAAAAAAACCAAAAAUAAAUAAAUUAACAGUCCCAGUCCAUUUACAACAAACCCAACAGGCCCAAAACCCUAACGGCCGAAUAUGGCCUAAAAACUAAACGAAAUCAGAGAACCCUAGGGUUCCCUCCUCUCUCUCGCGCCGCAGCCUGCCCCAUGUGCACCCUUGGCGCGCACAACGCUCAAUGAUAACGCCUUCACCAGUGUUGCACCAAAAUGGCAAAGAUUUCUGCCCAUUGACUCCCCAUGACCUGCAAAACAGAUGAAAACAACAACCAAGAGACAAAAACAGUAGAGGCAGCGUAAUAGAAGUAUUUAAAAUAGUGAAAAAUAAAAGAAAAAGAUAUAUUGUAUUUUGUCUUUGGUUAUAUAAGCCCAGAAACCAAACGAUGUAAAAGGGGGGCUUCUUCCUUUUUUACGAACAUUAAUAAAAAAAAAACAGAAAACAGAUCGAAGGUGAUUCUUCUUUACUUUUUUUUCGAUUCCUUUUUUAUUUUUAUUUUUAUUUUUUUCUACAUACUAAAUAAUAAAAAUACAAGAAGAAGAGGCUUACUAGAGGCACUCGGUGAUCGAGCCUAGGGGGCAUUCUCCAUCGUCAGGGGGUCUACGCCACCGUCGGGCCAGAUCCGAAAGGAUGUUGGGGCUCUUCUCUUUCGUUUCGGCGUUGAGAGGGCUCAACCCCUGAGGGCACUGCAAGACAAGGGCCGAAAAGCCCAUUUUCUUUAUCGCCAUCCACGGCCAUGACGGUCACGUGAUGGACGGACGGUGGAACCCUAGCCGAAUUUUGGGGAGGGGUUGAAGUUUGAGAGAAUUUUGUUUGAUUUUUUUAGAGGAAAGGAGAAAAGGAAGGAUUUUUUUUUAAAAAAAAAAUUAGCUUUUAUAGCAUUAACAAAUGGC
RNAcentral lists this long non-coding RNA (1581 nucleotides) under Gossypium barbadense (sea-island cotton). Its description in RNAcentral is "long non-coding RNA (GBAR_LNC013155)". Lineage: Eukaryota; Viridiplantae; Streptophyta; Magnoliopsida; Malvales; Malvaceae. The record is from RNAcentral.